RNAcentral lists this unclassified non-coding RNA (342 nucleotides) under soil metagenome. RNAcentral's name for it is "partial contains 5.8S ribosomal RNA, internal transcribed spacer 2, and large subunit ribosomal RNA". The stretch from base 1 to 120 matches the Rfam family "5.8S ribosomal RNA", at positions 35 to 154 of the family's 154-position model. The record is from RNAcentral.
GAUGAAGAACGCAGCGAAAUGCGAUAAGUAAUGUGAAUUGCAGAAUCCAGUGAAUCAUCGAAUCUUUGAACGCACAUUGCGCCCGCCAGCAUUCUGGCGGGCAUGCCUGUUCGAGCGUCAUUUCAACCCUCGACCUCCCUUUGGGGAAGUCGGCGUUGGGGACCGGCAGCACACCGCCGGCCCUGAAAUGGAGUGGCGGCCCGUCCGCGGCGACCUCUGCGUAGUAACCAACUCGCACCGGAACCCCGACGUGGCCACGCCGUAAAACACCCAACUUCUGAACGUUGACCUCGAAUCAGGUAGGACUACCCGCUGAACUUAAGCAUAUCAAUAAGCGGAGGA